RNAcentral lists this transfer-messenger RNA (401 nucleotides) under Candidatus Moranbacteria bacterium CG_4_8_14_3_um_filter_43_15. It matches the Rfam family "transfer-messenger RNA". Rfam says of the family: Bacterial tmRNA, also known as 10Sa RNA or SsrA, is named for its dual tRNA and mRNA-like properties. Its role is to liberate the mRNA from a stalled ribosome. RNAcentral also lists the same sequence under 4 other names. The record is from RNAcentral. Lineage: Bacteria; Candidatus Moraniibacteriota.
GGGGAUGAACGGUUUCGACAAUUUGUUCUCUCAAAAUAUGCAAGUCGAGCAUGAUAUUGAUCUCGUUAAACUCUAUAUCAACGACUAUAAGUGCAAACUUAUUUUCAAAGGCUAAGCAAGCAUUUGCCAACGCAUUUGCCCCUGCUUACGCUUCCGCUAUUGCCUAAUUCGCGAUAGCCAUCGAGUCGCUCACUCCUAAUAGGCGAUCACUCGGUGUCAUAUAUUAGGAUUGAUGAAUUAUUUUUUCUCGAGGCAAUUCAUGACACAAAAAUCGGGAACGGCUUGUUAAGGUUUUGCCUGUUUUAUACUUAACAAGUUAGUCAAAAUAAACCGGCUAAGCUUGUAGAAUAUUUUGAAGGAAUCAAAUUUGGACAUGGGUUCAAUUCCCAUCAUCUCCAAUU